CCUACGGGAGGCAGCAGUGGGGAAUCUUGCGCAAUGGGCGAAAGCCUGACGCAGCAACGCCGCGUGCGGGAUGAAGGCCUUCGGGUUGUAAACCGCUUUCAGCAGGGAAGAAAAUGACGGUACCUGCAGAAGAAGCCCCGGCCAACUACGUGCCAGCAGCCGCGGUAACACGUAGGGGGCGAGCGUUGUCCGGAUUUAUUGGGCGUAAAGAGCCCGUAGGCGGUUCGGUAAGUCGGGUGUGAAACCUCCAGGCUCAACCUGGAGACGCCACCUGAUACUGCUGUGACUAGAGUCCGGUAGGGGAGUGUGGAACUCCUGGUGUAGCGGUGAAAUGCGCAGAUAUCAGGAAGAUCACCAGCGGCGAAGGCGGCACUCUGGGCCGGUACUGACGCUGAGGAGCGAAAGCGUGGGUAGCAAACAGGAUUAGAUACCCUGGUAGUCCACGCCGUAAACGUUGGGCACUAGGUGUGGGUCUCAACCAACGAGAUCCGUGCCGCAGCUAACGCAUUAAGUGCCCCGCCUGGGGAGUACGGCCGCAAGGCUAAAACUCAAAGAUAAGUGCGCGNGAGACGCGACGACGACGACGACGGAGGAGAG
Molecule: ribosomal RNA, 597 nt
Filed under: uncultured bacterium
Lineage: Bacteria
Description: bacterial SSU rRNA
Rfam family: Bacterial small subunit ribosomal RNA
Source: RNAcentral